This 407-nucleotide ribosomal RNA is filed under the name uncultured bacterium. RNAcentral describes it as "bacterial SSU rRNA". It matches the Rfam family "Bacterial small subunit ribosomal RNA", at positions 355 to 776 of the family's 1533-position model. The record is from RNAcentral.
UUAGGAAUAUUGGGCAAUGGAGGAAACUCUGACCCAGCAACGCCGCGUGAAGGAAGAAGGUUUUCGGAUUGUAAACUUCUGAUCUGUGGGAAGAAGAGAAUGACGGUACCACAGGAGAAAGCCACGGCUAACUACGUGCCAGCAGCCGCGGUAAUACGUAGGUGGCGAGCGUUGUCCGGAAUAACUGGGCGUAAAGGGAGCGUAGGUGGUUCGGUAAGUUAGAUGUGAAAGCCCAGGGCUCAACUCUGGAAUUGCAUUUAAAACUGUCGAACUAGAGUGCAGGAGGGGUAAACGGAAUUUCCAGUGUAGCGGUGAAAUGCGUAGAUAUUGGGAAGAACACCGGAGGCGAAGGCGGUUUACUGGACUGCAACUGACACUGAGGCUCGAAAGCGUGGGAAGCAAACAGG